Molecule: microRNA precursor, 137 nt
Filed under: Hordeum vulgare
Lineage: Eukaryota; Viridiplantae; Streptophyta; Magnoliopsida; Poales; Poaceae
Description: microRNA MIR1122
Rfam family: MIR1120/MIR1122 microRNA precursor family
Source: RNAcentral
ACUUUAUACUCUCCCGUCCCGUAAUUUUUGUCUUAGAUUUAUCUAAAUAUAAAUAUAUCUAUUCAUGUUUUAGUAUUUAGAUACAUCCAUUACUAAACAAAAGUAAGACAAGAAUUUUGGGACGGAGGGUGUAUUUC